Molecule: ribosomal RNA, 253 nt
Filed under: uncultured bacterium
Lineage: Bacteria
Description: partial 16S ribosomal RNA
Rfam family: Bacterial small subunit ribosomal RNA
Source: RNAcentral
UACGUAGGCAGCAAGCGUUGUUCGGAAUUACUGGGCGUAAAGAGUGUGUAGGCGGUGUUCUAAGUUUGUCGUGAAAUCUCCCGGCUUAACUGGGAGGGUGCGGCGAAAACUGGAAUGCUAGAGGAUGGGAGAGGUAAGCGGAAUUCCUGGUGUAGCGGUGAAAUGCGUAGAUAUCAGGAGGAAUACCGGUGGUGUAGACGGCUCUCUGGACCGCAACUGACGCUGAGACACGAAAGCGUGGGUAGCAAACAGG